RNAcentral lists this long non-coding RNA (11117 nucleotides) under Heterocephalus glaber (naked mole-rat). Its description in RNAcentral is "lncRNA (ENSHGLG00100050171.1)". Lineage: Eukaryota; Metazoa; Chordata; Mammalia; Rodentia; Bathyergidae. The record is from RNAcentral.
UAAAAUCAAUGAAAAGUACUUUAAAAAAUUGUAAAUUUCAUAUGUUGUGGUUACACUGAUCUUUUCUUUGAACAUUUCUGCUGUGAAAUUCUUUUUUUUAAUACAAUGAUUUAAUACCUGCAUUUGGAGACUUAAACUUCUUACAGAUGCUAAUUAAUUAAUUAGGCAAAUAGGUUUGAGGGUAGUUAUGAAGUAGUAAUUUCAGUUUGUGCUCUUCCAGUAACUCAGCAUGACUUUCACUCUCAUUUCUAGCAGAUAUUACAGUGAGAGAUGAGCAUUUCAGUUUGCAGCUGACAGUUUAGGGUUAAGAUAUGAUUCCAGGUAACAGAAGCCAAUGAGAGUACACCCAGUUGAUGUUUGUGACAUCAUCUUCCAGUCGGAGUACAUAGAACAGCUGAGGUAGCGUUCAGUUUCAGCCCCAGUGCCAUUAUGAUGGAUGUUUACAUCUCUUCAUUGAGAGCCAAUUAUCUCGCUUUUGUGUGAGGCCCAAGGAUCACUCAUGCUGCCUGGCUGCACAGAGCACUGUUGGAUCUAGCUGAACGAAUUGUUUUCUGUCUCUGGUUGAUGUGCUUAGGUGAUGGAAGGGUAUCAACUGGAAAAACUUUAGGAAAUUCUGCUGGUUAGAGACUGGGAAAGGGAAGCCAGGACAAACAAAGAAGACUCAAAAUGAGAAUGAAAUAAAUCUAAACUAUUAGAACUUCAGAAGAGGAUAGAUAUGAUGAUGCUGAGGGUAGAAAAUUUACUAAAUUCUGUGUGCAGAAAAUAUCUGCACAUUUGAACAUGGCACUCAUUUACCUUCUGCUUCCAUAUCCUGUCUUCCAUUUUCCUCUCACUCAUAAUUCUUCAGUGGCUUUUUGUUACUGACAGGAUAAUAUAUGGCUUGCAAGGCCCAACCUGGCAGACUGUGUGCUCCACAGCUUUUACAUUCUCUUCUCAUCCCUCUCACUGUCUCUGCUCUGCCCCACCAUGGAUCCUUGGCUACAGCAUUUCCUCAGUAAGUGGAUCCCUCUGAACCUUCUUCACUACUGACCUCCCAGCAUAAAUCUCCAUUAAAGAAAUGCCUGAGGAAGUGAAGAAGAUAUCUUAAGAAAGUCAUCUUCCACUGAUCUUGCUAUGAGAUAUGAAUAUGGGGAAGAAGCUGAACCAACUGAAGCAGUAGUCUUGGUCUGCUCAACAAGCCUGAUGAAAGAAAAGGUUUUAAUAGGUCAUUUGAAAAUGUUUAAUAAAUGAUAUAUUGCUUAUAAUUUUACUACAACCUCAUAUCAUAAAUAUAACUAAUAUUCACUUUCUGUUUACAACCUGCUAGACACUAUGAUAAACAUUUUAAAUUUUCUCCUUUUACUCCUAGAAGUCCUAAGAAAUGUAAAUGAUUUAUUAUCACUAUUUUCUUAAUAAGGAAGCCUAGGAUUAGUUAGGAAGUUCACAAUGCUAGUAAGUGAUAGAUCUGGAAAGUAAUGUUAAAGUAGGUGAUUUAUUUAUUCAAAAAAUUAAAUUAAAUUAUUCCAAAAAUUUCAUUCAUACUGUUUUGUUAAAUACAUACAUUUCCAUUUUGUUAACCUGUUUGUAGGUAUUUAUGCACUUAUAUAUGUUAUGUGUGUUUUCUACAUAUUUUUGUUUAUAAUAAACUAUAUAUCCACACUCAUUCUUCCUGUCUGUGAUGAUAGAUAGAUGAUAGAUUUAAAGAUUGGGCUAAUGGGAUAUGUAACAUAUUUAUCUUACUAAAAGUAAGACUUUCCCAAGUAUACAAUAUAAAAGACUUUUCCUCUAAUUAAAUUGUCUAUAUCUGUUAACUCUGGCAAUGAUUUUUACUUACUUUAAAUUUAAAUUUAAAAUUGUCCUGAAUCAUUAGUAUAUUAGUAUAUUUUCUUAUAAUUAUCCCACAUUAUUAUAUUUUCUUAUAAUUAGUAUAUUAUACAUUAUAUUAUUAGUAUAUUUUCUUAUAAUUAUCCCACCUGAACUGUCCAUAUAAGAGCGACAACAGCCUCUCCCAACCCUGCCUUCACAUAUUUGCUUAAUAAUGAGUGUACACUGUAUGGUGCCACUGGCCUCAGCACUAAACAGUGGCAACAUCCUUGUUCUUUGCUUUAGUACUGGAGAUGAUGGUUGCCCCAUCCCUCAUUAUUAGCGCUACAUCCCUCAUUAUUCAUUUAGACCAAUUGUUAAAAUCCUAUCUCCCUUGCCAGAGAUUGAGAAAUAUAACUGGUACUUACAGGGCAUGAGCUAAAACCUGCCAAGAUGUGGAUUGAAAACAUGAUCUUUUCCCUAAAAUAAAGACAAGAGAGAUGGAUUCCCUUUUAUGGAUCUGCUGGAGAUGUCUCAUUAACCUUAAGUAGUCAAAGGGCCAAGACAAUUUGCCCGGAGAUGGCUCGGAAGCUAGAAACCAUGCAAGUCUUUGAUGACUUUGUGGAAUUGCUACAUUAACCCAAAUUAAAAACAUCCUACCUUAACACUAUUAAAUGAGAUUUUACCUUUCAUUAUUAUCUAAUAUUUGCAUUGAAAAUAUGUGUGCACAUAGUUACUGUGAACCUGUAAGACAUGUAGGCCCAUGCACUGAGUGGUAAUAAAUUAGACUUUUAAGUGUGUUGCAAAGGCAUAUUAGAUUUUUAUCUGGAACUGACACAAUGCUAUGCUAAUGUAGGGGCAUAUCUUAAAAUACAUAAUCAUUGUUACGUAUAACCCAAGUUUGGAUUUUUGUAGUAAUUAGUAGCAGUUUUUAAAUUGCACCACAAAUAUUCCACAACUACUUUAUUCAAAUACCAUGCUGAACUCUAUGUGUAGCAAUAACUUAGACUAAGUACUGGCUUUCUAGAGAAGGAGGCAGACAUCCUACAAGACAAUUGGGAGAGCCACAGUGCUUAACCUUAUACACAGUGUACAAAGGGGGUGGAGAGUACUUUUAAUUUUACUCGUCAGUCUGCUAAAAUGAUGUGGCGUUUCAGAUAAUGUGUACAAGCACUGUGAGUGAGCUGAAAUGAUCUAUCAUGAUCAAUCUGAAAAAAGAGGCUGGAUGUUGAGAGAAAUUUGAGACUGAAAAUCUGACAGCAAAGAGAGGCACUAUUACAAAAUGAAUCCUGUAAAGCCUUAGUAUGAAGUUUAUAUUUUCAACUAUAUGAAGGUGUCAUUAAUUAUUGGAGAGUUUUCAACUUAUUAGAGAAGGGAUAUGGAUAUGUUGAAGUUUUAGAAAAAAACUUCUAUUACUUCUUUUUUGAUCAAUUGGAGGUAGACAAUUUUAAAACUCUGAUAUUGGUUCAAAAGUUUGUUAAAACUUAUUGAGGAAAAGGAUGAUUAUGACCCAAACUAAGAUUAGAGCAUAAGGAAAAGAAAAAAGAUGAAUUUGAGAAAGCAAAGUCAAAAUAAUUAAGGACCUGAAUAUAUAGGUCUGGAGUUCAUAGGAAAAGAUGUUCUAGGUUGUAUAGAAUAAAAUGAGCUUAUGGAAGUGGAAGAACUAUUCCCACAAAUAAAAAACUGAGUUGGAGUUUCAUUGAUUUUAUUUUUUGUUUUGGUAGAAAAGAGUUAAGGACAGCUUCUAUUGUUUAAAAUCAUCAUUUAAGAACAGGUGGGAAGAAAUAAAUUCAAAUAAAUAGACAAAAUUCUGACAGAGAAGUAAUAAGUUAAGGAGUUAAAAGGAAAGAAUAUUUCAUGAAGGUGGGAGGAGGCAAUGGUGUCAAGUGUAGCAUCAGUUCAUAUGUGGGAAAAUAACAAAAAAAUAAAUGAAAUGAGAAAUGCCCACUGGAUUUAGCAAAAAAUAGGUCAUUGCUGACCUUGGGAACAGCAGCUUCAGCUGGGAAAUGUAGGGAGAAUACAAAAUCAGAAUGAGUUUAAGAAUGAAUUAGAGGUAAAUUAGGGGAGAGAAAACUCAAGCAACUAAUGUGAAGGGAGAAAGAAAUGUCAUUAAGUAGAGGGGACAAGUGGCGUUGUCCGAGAACUCUGCUCUGAUGUAUGAGUUGUCAAGAAUUCUGCCCAUGCACCCAAGAACUGUCAGUGCAAACUGGGACUUAUGCUUGCAUCCACUGUUUAGGAGACACUGAUUGGUACCUACUUUGCAUUUAGAAUGAUACUCAAACCACAAUGGCAGGCUGACUCAGCAGAGUGAUUCCUACUUGAUGGAGUUUCUCGCAAAUGUGCAUACAGACUGCAGAGUUAGGUGCAUAGUCAUUCUUCAGUAAACAUCUGCAUGACACGAGGAUCGAACUUGGGUCCUUGCGCUUGCGCAGCAGGUGGCGAAACCACUGAGCUAAAUCCCCGGCCCCAAAGCAUAAUCUUUUGAAGUCACUGUAGAAUGAAAAGAAGUAAUCUUUUCAAAUGAUUUUAACAGUAAGUAAUGCUAGAAAAUUAAUAUAUACAUACUGUAGUUUUAUUUCACAAGGAAAAUCUGCCAAAUAAUUCAUCUCAAAAGAAAAGUCAGUUCUUACUACGAGUUAUUUAAACAAUAAUUAUGGAUAUUUUUAGACACUCAUACAUUUUUAGAAAGGGACUCCCUAAUCAAAUUAAAAAGGACAACACAAAAUUUACAAAAUUACAUUUCCCUGCUUUUCUGUUAUUAAGAAUGCUUAAUUUAUCCUUUUCUCCAGCAUAGCACAGGAAAAUUGUUCUGGAAUUUACCAGCAACCAUCAAGACCAAGGUGAUACAACUGUGAAACCUAGCAUCGCUGGGGGAGAUUAGCUGUUCCACUCCUUGAAACCCAGCAAGGCUGUCACCUAUCAAAGGCUGCACCUUGGGAUUCCUUGCAAUAAAUAUCUGAAGAAGAAUCUAAUGCACCAUUAACGUCAAAGUGUCUCCCAGACUACAGUAUUGGCUUUUCCUUAAACACUUUAAGCACCAACCACUUGGCUUCUUUCCAGAUUCUUAGUUUCUUAUUGAGUCAGUGCUGAACCUGUAUCAUCGAAAUGUAGCACUUUGAAAACAGGCUUGUUAUAAGCGGCUUAUAGAAGAAAUUUUUUCCACAAAAUGUCAUUUCCUUUUCUAAAACAUGUUUAAUUCAUGUUGACCAGUACAGGCCUCAGCCAUGCAAAAUUUCUAAUAUUAUACCCCAUAUGAUACAUCAAAGCAAAUAAAUGUAGAUAUAAAAAUCUAAAAUAGAGUAAUUUAGAAUCUUCAGUCUUCACCUAUAUUAUUGAGUCCCUAUCCACUGCAGCAAAUGACAACUCUUUAGUUUACAGUUUAUUAAAACUUCACCUAAGAUUUAACAUUUAAUAUUACAGAUAUUGCUCUGAACUGAUUGCUGUACAGGAUUAGAAAAUGUUUCACUUUCAGUGAUGUAACAUCAAAUGCCAUUCAACAAGGACCAGUCAUAGCCUUUAUGUAUGAGCAAAUGAUGACAUUUCAAGAGAAAUCCUACCCUUCUCAUCUGUGAAGUUCGUUUUCAUCUUUUACCUAGCUAUUGAUUAUUUCAUUCGCUUUCCUCCUAAACACCCAUAGGUGUGUGCACAAAAGUGCACUGAUUCAACACCAGAAACCUGGGGACCACUCUAUUUGGCAUUCCUUAUCACUGCAGUAAAAAAUCAAAAAGAAAACUAUAUGUUAAGUAUUUAUGUUAAACUUUAUCCAUGUUUUAUUUAGUUCAUGACAGCCUACACCUUUAGCUGUAAUUUUCCUCACAUUGAUAUGAAAACAAAGAAAAAAAGCUACCCCCUUCAAGUUCCUCAAGAAUAGAAAAAAUAAAUAAUCCAACAAUAGAUAGUAAAUAACAGAGUCAGGACUGAAACCAAGACAUGCUGCCCUGAGAUCCUAUGAAUUUAAGUUUUCUGUUACGCAUGCUGCUUUUCUUUCCAAAGCUGAUCCCAUUUGAAGUGAUACAACUUCUGUUUGUGCAGCAAUAUUUGAAUCUUUUUUGUGAAUUAUGUCAAUCACCAGUGAAAGAAUAAGAUAAAAUACUGCUUUGUAAAAUAAAAGAAUAGCAAAUUGCUUUACCUCUUUAAGCUUCAAUUUUCUGAUUUCUAAUAUUUUUGUUAGAGAAUUGUAUUUGGUAUUAAAUAAUAUAAAUCACAUUUUAGAUAUUUUAACUGUAAAUUCCUGUGCAAAUACAAAUAAUACUAUUAUUAUGCUCCCCAAGUAAAAAAUUAAAAUACAAAUGUAUAUAUGAGUUACACCAAAUCUCAUAGAAUAUCAAAUGAAAGAGACAUAAAUACCCUUUAAAUCACUUACCACAUGUUCAGUGGAUAGCAAAUUCAAAGCUUCUGAUUUUUUUCAGUUACUUUUAGUAAUACAAAGGCAUUAUUUAUUAGCAUUUAUAUUACAAUUAUUACGUAUUUGAUUUAUGCAAUUAUGUUCUUCUUUGGUUAAUUAAACACUGUGCAUGGUAACUCAAUACCCUUCUAAAUGUUACAUAGGUGUUAAAUUGGCAUCUGUUUAAGAAGACAGAACAAAACCCAUUGUUAGGUGCGCAGACAUUAAACCAGGAAUUCACAAAAAAAAACAGAAUAAGUUUAACAGACCUUACCUAAGGAUAAAUUAUCUCUUUUGGCUUAAAACUUGCUUUUGCCCAGAAACAUUUCUCUUUUUAAAUGUGUGGAAAAUAGCAUCUCUGGCACUUCUUAAACAAAUAUUUUGCUAAAGGAUAUGCUUUAGAAAGCUUCUAUUAGUUGGCAAAAGUAGUUUAUUAUCUUCAAAGUUUUCUAAUACAUUAUAUCUGAUUAUCAAAAACUUUGAAGAUAUUAAAACUUUAGGCAUAAAUUUUUAGGUAAAUUUCCUUUUUAGUUUGACCAAGCUUUUGUACCACCUUGUCUAUAGGAGACAUCUGUCAGGGAUCCCCAUAGUGGUGACCCUGAUAAAAAUGCAGUGAGGGAGGGGGUGUCCUGUUCAUAACACAAUGGAAAUCACCUUUCCUAUUUGCCACAUAAAUUAGGGAGAAAAUGAAAUGUUGGAAGUAGAUAUUUAUCUUUUAAGGGUCAAAUCUCUGGAGAUACCUUGUUAUACAUCUGAGGGAAGAAAUUAUUCAAAAUUUUUUGUUUUAUUUUGUAAAUGGAAGAAGUGAAUUCCUUUGUGUUGUUUAGAACAUUUCCUUUUGGAGUACUCCUAUGUAAAUAAAUGAAAGCACACAUUAUUGUUGUUUUCCUUUUUUUUGAGGAGAGUAGCAGUACCUUGGCAUCAUCAGCUUUUGUGUUGUGAUUUUCUACUUCAUAAUGAGAUCAGCUUAUUCGGGGCUCAUUUUUUCCCCCAAAGAUGACUAGUUGAACUGAAAUUCAUUUAUACAAACAUUAUAAUUUAAGUGCCAAUAAUGGCUCUGAGUUAAAGAAUGAAUGAAAUCAGAAAGGUCAAAAUCUAUUUGACUUCCUUUAAAUAUUUGAUAGCUUGUUUACUUAAAUUUAUUUUAUUUGAAAUGCCAAGACAUUUGCCCUUUUCGUGUAGAUUGUAGAACUCUUCAUUAGUUUUUUUCUGGCAUCUGUUCAUUUCAAAACAUUAAACAUUGCCCAGUACAUCUAUGUGUUUCUAAGGGUUAAUUGAGAGGUAGUGUCUAACUUCAGAGCACACAGUGUGAUACAUGGAAACAGCCACUUAGAACAACUAAUAACCAAAAGUGCUUUUCCAUCCAUUCAAUACAUGUUUAAGUAUGCAUCAUGUACCAGUCAAGCUUCUAGAAUGGAGGGAUACUUUAGAAAAUAAAAUCUACCAAGUCCCUAACUUUACAAGCAGCUUUCAUCUUAAUGUUGAGCAAUUCAAAUGUUUCUGAUUCUGAUUGGUUAGAUUAAUAUCAUCUCUUCCCAUGGAAAUUUGCAAGGUCAUUGAUGAAGGAAAAUGGUGGUGACGUUUGAUAGACAUUAUCUCCUCCUUGCAAAAAGAUGAUUAUUUUGUGUUGGUACUAUUGAAAGAUCACCUAUAUAAAUAACAGUUUGCUUUUAAAUAUUGUGUAUUGCAACAAGUUAUAUAUAACCUUAUAUUUUGCUUAUAAGGCAAAAUAUUGUUUUGUAAGAUACAAACACAAUUCUCAUCUAUUGCUGUAACCAGGAAACUUCUCAUGACUUCCUAACAGCAGCAUAUGUAUUGUUUUUUAAAAAAUCUCUUUUAUGAUGUCCACUUUGUCUUUCACUUUAUAUAAUUAUGUGCUUCAUUGUAUCAUUACUAGAUUGAAAGUUACUUAUAGGAAAGAAAUCAUGUUAACAGUAAUCAUUUCAUUAUGUUUGGGACCUAACACAAGACAUGGCUUAUACUGCCUAAAUAUUUCCUGUAUUAACUUGAAUAACUUACUGUAAAUUAGGAAAUUAAACAAAGACCACAGAUAAAUAAAUAAUAUUCUGUGUGUGUCCAAUGCUCAGUUUGAAUUUCAGCAUAAAUUGGAAAGGCAUGUUUUCAUCCAUAUACAUAUCUUAAUAUUUCUCAUAUCAUCACUAUAUAUUAGAGAACUAUAGUUUUCUGGUUGCUAUCACUGAACUAUAUUCCUCAAGAGCAAAGAGAGAAGAGUAGGUUUAAAAUGUUAUUUAUUAUAUUAAUAUAAAUAGUAAACUUUAUGCAACACUCAUGAAAUUCAUAUGUAAAGAAAUAUGCAUUUCUGGAGUCAUUUACAUUGUUCCAAGGCUAUAUUUUCAGGGAUCAUUUCUAUAGUUCAUUACAUUGUUGCAUUUUUGUGAACACAGGUCUCUAUUAUAUCAUUAUUGGAGGAGAAAAUAACUAUAACACAAUUAGUAUUUACAUUUGUAAUAUUAUCUCUCUUACUUUCCAACUUCUAUGAUCAUUAAUAUGUGGGUUGCUCAUUAAUUUAUAGAUAAUAGCAGUUAUAGUAUAUGAAGAAAAAUUAGGAAAAGCAUCAAGCUAAUUAUUUUCUCUUUUAAAAUCUGCAUACAUUUCUUGAUCCUUCCAGACAGAACAAGCCAGAAGUUCACAUUUUCUUAACAAUGGCUUUGAUAACGCCUAAUAACUUUCACUGGCUAGCAGAGUCUACUUCCCCUGAGGAGUUAGGCAACUGAUAGGCUUGUUUUGUUAGUUUGACUUUGCUGAUCUUAACAAGAAAUAAUUCUCAUCACUGUGGUGAAUAUAUAAGUAUUGUAAUAACAUAUAUCUAACUGUCACUUGCUGACUAAAUUUUUUUUGUUCUUCAUAUAAAUUGGUAUCUUACAUACAUAAAGAGAAAAGAAUAGGGCUUGUUGGCAUAAGGAAUUUGUUUCAGAAAUGUAAGUUCUUAUUCCUUCUGUUACGUGGAGAAAAUGUGGAAAAUAAUACAACAUUCACUAUAUGAAACACAGGCAAGUCUUGUAAGUGGGAAAUUGCUUUCGUUUCUCAUUCUUCAAACAAACUUUAAAUGUUUCCCUUGAAUAGGUGACAGCUCUAGAAGCUGUGUCCUCAAAGGCUUUUUCUUAGUUCAAGCUAAAUACAUCUAUUCCAUUGGUGUAAAUAUUUCUACAAAAUAAUUCAUUGUGUGCACCUUCGAUUUGAUUAUAAAGUAGAUUUAGAAGACAUUUAAAAAUUAACUGUAGUUAGGUAAUGCACUCUACACUAUCAGCAAAGUACUUAGAUAAAAUUGUACAUGGCUGACUUUUUAUCUUAUCAUUGUUUCUAUUCACAUGAUUUUCCCUGAGGAAUAUUUAAUUGAUUCCCUUUGGUUUAAUCUUCCUUUUCUAUUAGAUUUCUUUUUCCUUGUCUACAAGAAAGUCAAUAAAUACAAGGGAUGGAUGUGGACAUGUAGUUUCCAAAGAAAACUGGAGCCAGGUCACUCAGAGGAGGAACCAUGUCUUAUUCAUUGUUUUUACCCGAAUAUCUAAUACAGAGUUUGAUGCCUAGUGUAGUUCAAUAAAUACUUUUUGAAGUGAACAAGUUGUACAUUAAGGUCAUGAGUGAGAUUCACCGAAACAACACAUUAUUGUACUUGAAGAGAGAGACAUGUAAGGGAUAUUAAACAGUCAAGAUUCAAAAACUUAUCACACAAAGUUCUGGUUUAAUAUUGAGGGGAAAAGAUUCUAGUUCAUAUUUCUGGCUGUAUCACUGCCUGAUUUAAUAUCAUUAGGUUAUAGUUAUACCCAAAUUUUAUUAUAUUACUCCUUUCCUCCAUCAAACACACAUUAUUCUAUUUCCAUGUCAGGAGAGAGAAGCUCUGGUGUAAGACACACCUGUUUUUGCUGUGAAUCCUUCCAAAUACAUAUGUGGAAUUACAAACAUGAUGAACAUGACAUUCAAAUACAGACUCACAAAGGACAAGUUAUGUUAGAUGAAGAAUCCAGGAUAAUAUAUGGUAACUAUAACUCUAUUUAGCAAAGUAAUAAGUUUGAAGAUCUUUCCUACGUAAGUAUUAAAAUAUUAAAAUCUGAAUCACAAUUCUAGAACUGCCAUGGUAGAUCCAUCAAGAAUGCACCCAUGUGAGCCAGGCACAGUGGCACAUUCUUGGAAUCCCAUCUACCUAGGAGGCCAAGCAGAGGAUCACAAGUUCAGGGCCCACCCUGCAACUUAGUGAGAGUCUGUCUCCAGCCUUAAAAAUAAAAUAAUAAAAUAAAAAAAGAAAGAAAGAAAGAAAAAUAAAAAAAGAAAAGAAAUGUUGGAAACAUAGCCUUAGAUUUGAUCUCCAGUACAAAGAAGCAAUCACUUAUGUGAGAGGCUAAGGAAUUUAAAAUGCCAGCUCCUUUACAUUGAGAACCUUGUUUCGGUGUCCUAGUGGAUGAGUGCCAUCACAAAACAGAAGUACUGAGGAUCUCCUGUAUGAACCACUGUAAACACUUUAACAUCAGGGAGAGUAUAGUAGUGGCCAUGCUGAUGACCACCCCAUGACAUUUCCACUUAGGGUCACUCUGUGCUCAUUGUUGUAUGAAAUAUGUCUGAACUGGGAGAGGAAAUUGUCCCCAAAGGAGGUGUAUUCCAAGGUCAUCCCAGCAGCAUCUUUGCUGCAUUAGCACCUGAGGCAGAUUCAGCACCAAUGGGAAUGGAAAGAGCUUUUGGCACAGGCAGUCUCAAAACUGUGAUCUAAUACUGGAGAGAAAGAAAAUGACAAAAACCACACGGCCAUAAAGAAGCAUGUCCAAAUGUCUAGAUAAGAAUAUUCAGGCACAGAGAAAAAAUGCCUUUGCAAUUCAUGAAGAUGUACAAAAUACUUCUAGUUUAAAAAAAGAGCCGAGAUUGGGAAGAAUUCAAGACUAGAGUCUUAGAAUGAGAAGAUGAGGAAGAAAGCUCUUUUGACAAAUUACUCCCAUGUUAACAC